This 375-nucleotide ribosomal RNA is filed under the name Spondylus wrightianus. RNAcentral's name for it is "partial 12S ribosomal RNA". The record is from RNAcentral. Lineage: Eukaryota; Metazoa; Mollusca; Bivalvia; Pectinida; Spondylidae.
UUAGAUACCCGGUUAUUUUUAUGGAAUUUGCUUGGUGUUUGGCGACUACGAAGCUUAAAAGUCAAAGUACUUGGCGGCUUUCUAACUAAUCAGGGGAAUAUGCCAUUUGAGUCCGAUGGCCCGCGGAAAUCUUACCCCACCUUGCAAAAGAGUCAGUCAGUGUACUGCCGUUGUCAGCUGUUGCGGGAAGCAAAUUAAAAGCGGCUGUUUUCAGAAUUCAGGUCGAAGCGCUGCCUAUGGUGGGAGAUUGGGGUAUUACAUUUCGGAUUUGGGGAAAAAUAACGCAAAACGGAAGAUGAACUUGAAAGUAAGAAGAGAAUAGCAUGCUCUCCUGAAUAAGCGUGGAUUGCGUACAAAUCGCCCGUCGCUCUCGCU